Molecule: non-coding RNA, 143 nt
Organism: Gossypium arboreum
Lineage: Eukaryota; Viridiplantae; Streptophyta; Magnoliopsida; Malvales; Malvaceae
Source: Rfam
UGUUAAAGUUGUUAUCUAUUUUUACCAUUAAAGAUUGGAUUAAUCGUUAGAUAACUUGACAGUUGCAUGUGGUAUGUCACUUGUAUCUUAUAUUGUCAUACAAGGAUAAGUUUUAGUAGUAUAAAUAGAUGAAAUUUUUAACA